Molecule: ribosomal RNA, 580 nt
Filed under: uncultured bacterium
Lineage: Bacteria
Description: partial 16S ribosomal RNA
Rfam family: Bacterial small subunit ribosomal RNA
Source: RNAcentral
UGGGGAAUUUUGGACAAUGGGCGAAAGCCUGAUCCAGCAAUGCCGCGUGUGUGAAGAAGGCCUUCGGGUUGUAAAGCACUUUUGUCCGGAAAGAAAUCCUUGGCUCUAAUACAGUCGGGGGAUGACGGUACCGGAAGAAUAAGCACCGGCUAACUACGUGCCAGCAGCCGCGGUAAUACGUAGGGUGCAAGCGUUAAUCGGAAUUACUGGGCGUAAAGCGUGCGCAGGCGGUUUGCUAAGACCGAUGUGAAAUCCCCGGGCUCAACCUGGGAACUGCAUUGGUGACUGGCAGGCUAGAGUAUGGCAGAGGGGGGUAGAAUUCCACGUGUAGCAGUGAAAUGCGUAGAGAUGUGGAGGAAUACCGAUGGCGAAGGCAGCCCCCUGGGCCAAUACUGACGCUCAUGCACGAAAGCGUGGGGAGCAAACAGGAUUAGAUACCCUGGUAGUCCACGCCCUAAACGAUGUCAACUAGUUGUUGGGGACUUCAUUUCCUUAGUAACGUAGCUAACGCGUGAAGUUGACCGCCUGGGGAGUACGGUCGCAAGAUUAAAACUUAAAUGGAAUUGACGGGGUCAUAGCU